This 274-nucleotide ribosomal RNA is filed under the name uncultured bacterium. RNAcentral's name for it is "partial 16S ribosomal RNA". It matches the Rfam family "Bacterial small subunit ribosomal RNA", at positions 523 to 796 of the family's 1533-position model. The record is from RNAcentral.
AUACGGAGGGUGCAAGCGUUAAUCGGAAUUACUGGGCGUAAAGCGUACGUAGGCGGUUAUUUAAGUCAGAUGUGAAAGCCCCGGGCUUAACUUGGGAACUGCAUUUGAAACUGGGUAACUAGAGUUUAGUAGAGGGGAGUGGAAUCUCAGGUGUAGCGGUGAAAUGCGUAGAGAUCUGAAGGAACACCAGUGGCGAAGGCGACUUCCUGGACUAAAACUGACGCUGAGGUACGAAAGCGUGGGUAGCAAACAGGAUUAGAAACCCUAGUAGUCC